UACAGAGGUCUCAAGCGUUGUUCGGAUUCAUUGGGCGUAAAGGGUGCGUAGGCGGCCCUGUAAGUCAGUGGUGAAAUACUGCAGCUUAACUGUAGCAUUGCCAUUGAUACUGUAGGGCUUGAGUACAGAUGAGGUAGGCGGAAUUGAUGGUGUAGCGGUGAAAUGCGUAGAUAUCGGGAGGAACACCUGUGGCGAAAGCGGCGCACUGGACCACAACUGACGCUGAGGCGCGAAAGCUAGGGGAGCAAACAGG
RNAcentral lists this ribosomal RNA (253 nucleotides) under uncultured bacterium. Its description in RNAcentral is "partial 16S ribosomal RNA". It matches the Rfam family "Bacterial small subunit ribosomal RNA", at positions 524 to 776 of the family's 1533-position model. The record is from RNAcentral.